This 301-nucleotide ribosomal RNA is filed under the name uncultured bacterium. RNAcentral describes it as "partial 16S ribosomal RNA". It matches the Rfam family "Bacterial small subunit ribosomal RNA", at positions 509 to 807 of the family's 1533-position model. The record is from RNAcentral.
CAGCAGCCACGGUAAAACGUAGGUGGCAAGCGUUGUCCGGAAUUAUUGGGCGUAAAGGGCUCGCAGGCGGUUUCUUAAGUCUGAUGUGAAAGCCCCCGGCUCAACCGGGGAGGGUCAUUGGAAACUGGGAAACUUGAGUGCAGAAGAGGAGAGUGGAAUUCCACGUGUAGCGGUGAAAUGCGUAGAGAUGUGGAGGAACACCAGUGGCGAAGGCGACUCUCUGGUCUGUAGCUGACGCUGAGGAGCGAAAGCGUGGGGAGCGAACAGGAUUAGAUACCCCUGUAGUCCCUGUCUCUUAUAC